GGGGCAUCAGCAGAUGAGGUCACAUAUUCAGAGCUCACUAUUAAAAACAAGAUAUCUGUGGAUAAAGAUGCUGGAAAAAGAGAUGUUUUAAUUGAGAUGAAAACUGAGGACAAUCAAAGAGGGAAAAGCAGUGAGUGUGAAGACACUGUUUACUCUGAUCUGAAGCAGAACACAGACAGAGGUGGCAGUGCUGGAGUCGAUGCAACUUAUGCUCAAGUUUUUAAUCACCGAAAGAAAAAAACCUGCAAGAAUUGAUCAAGUUUAUUUUAAAAUACACACAUUUACAUGUAGAAGAAAUGCUGAAAUCAAUCAAUGAUCAGAUCAUUAAUUAAAAAAGACACCUGACAAGACAAAACUGGAUUUCCAUGAGAUUUUGAGAUGUUUUUUAUCCAGUCUUGACGUCAACAUGUAAUGAGAGAAUGCCGUUAAAUGCCUUCACAUGCAAAAGUUCUGAUCAUGUUUCUUGUAUUUUGUGUCGGGAAGUUUGUACACAAACCUUCUGCUUUUAUAAUGCGCUUAUUUUAAAUGUGUGUUUAAUAGUGCAACAUUUAUUGUAGUUGGGACACUUUCUUGUUUAAGUUCAGAAUUUGCUCUUUCAUGUAAAUUGUAAACUAACUCUUACAUUAUAAACCUGCGUAUGUGUGUUUCUAUAAUGUCAGUGUAACUAUAUUCACCUUUAAAUUAAUUAAUUACAUUUUCUGUCUGUUCUGCAGCGCCUCAAAGUUACAAGAAUCACUUUAACUUUAAUAUCAGUAAUAUUUUCAUCAGUUAAACACAGUCUUCAUGUCUGUGUCGAAGAUGUGCCCGAAUUUAUGAGGAUUUUGCCAAGAGAAUAAGACUUUUAUUUAAGAUUUAUUUUUCAUGUUUUUGGAUCAGUUGAUUGUUUUUGUUUGAAGUUUCUCAGAUUUUCUGUCAUUUUGACGUUAAAUAAAAACAAAUCUGAUGUUCUUCUCAUGAGCAUUUAUCACACUUAAAAUAGUGGGACCAUUUUUAACCCUGGGUUAAUAUAAUCUGGGGUUAUAUUGUUUUCUAUUGUUAUUGCCUUUAUUGUCCAGAAGAUGGUGUCAAUGUAUCAGCUUUGAGUUUCUGAACCGCUUUAAACUGUUUAUGAAAAGUUUAAUAUUCAGAACUGUGUAAAAGUUUUAGACAUUUCUGGAAAAUGCUG
Molecule: long non-coding RNA, 1165 nt
Organism: Xyrauchen texanus (razorback sucker)
Lineage: Eukaryota; Metazoa; Chordata; Actinopteri; Cypriniformes; Catostomidae
Exons: 4
Source: RefSeq, a predicted model, not a curated record